UACGAACUGUGCGAACGUUAUUCGGAAUCACUGGGCUUAAAGGGUGCGUAGGCGGUUUUCUAAGUCACGUGUGAAAUCUUCCGGCUCAACCGGAAAACUGCGCGUGAUACUGGAUAACUUGAGUGAGGUAGGGGUGUGUGGAACUUCCGGUGGAGCGGUGAAAUGUGUAGAGAUCGGAAGGAACGCCAGCAGCGAAAGCGGCACACUGGGCCUUUUCUGACGCUGAGGCACGAAAGCUAGGGGAGUGAAC
This 250-nucleotide ribosomal RNA is filed under the name uncultured bacterium. RNAcentral's name for it is "partial 16S ribosomal RNA". It matches the Rfam family "Bacterial small subunit ribosomal RNA", at positions 524 to 773 of the family's 1533-position model. The record is from RNAcentral.